This is a long non-coding RNA of Esox lucius (northern pike), 593 nucleotides long. NCBI's taxonomy places the organism in Eukaryota, Metazoa, Chordata, Actinopteri, Esociformes, Esocidae. The record is from Ensembl.
CUAUGACUAAUAUGAUUUCAAUUGCAAGAGCCACAGAGGAUUCCAGAUACCCCACCAAACAUGAGGUCGAGACCACGGCUCAAUGAUUGGUGGAGUACGACCCAAUGAUAAAAGACAGGUCAUCUGACAGAGCAUGUUACUAAAAAGCUAAUGAAGAGACUCUCAAAUGUCAGAAGGCCAAAUGGAUGCAGAUGUUAGAACCAGUGACUACGAUGGAGAUUCCAGUGCAUCAACCAUUAUUCUGGAACAGUUACCUAAUAGAGCCAGCACCCCAGUACAACACCAGAAUAGCAGUGAUGAAGCAAAUGACCUCUCGGACAGCCAGAAAACCCAGGUGAGACACUACAAGACUCUCCAAGAAAUGUACAAGUCUACGAAGCCGCACAAAGCUGCAAUAACUCAUAUGCUGGACCUGGAGUUCGAAUCUCGAAGACGCUUCAUUAUCUCAGAUGUUUUAAAGGAGCAAGACAGACCGACAAAGGUUCUUGAGGCUUACCCAUGUUUCAGAGAAGUGGAUCAUGUCCUGGAUGAACUCUGGAGAAUUAUUCAACCAACCAAUUUGCGGUACAUCUCUGAGGUGAAGGACAGAUGGG